CCCAAAGUCAGUUACCAGGUUUCAUUUGCAUAAUUGCUGCUCAGCAUUAACCCUUCUGUGGAUUAGGUUGCUGCUCGGCACAACUUUUCCUGUGUGGACAGUAAAUGUCAUUAACCACUUUUCUAUAAGCGGAUGAAUACAUGAGACCAGGUUUCAUUUGCACAAUUACUGCUCAGCAUUAAACCUUCUGUGGAUUAAGUUGCUGCUCGGCACAACUUUUCCUGUGUGGACAGUAAAUGUCAUUAACCACAUUUCUAUAAGCGGAUGAAUACGUG
Pelobates cultripes (western spadefoot toad) is the source of this 275-nucleotide non-coding RNA. NCBI's taxonomy places the organism in Eukaryota, Metazoa, Chordata, Amphibia, Anura, Pelobatidae. The record is from the annotation of a GenBank genome assembly.